RNAcentral lists this ribosomal RNA (2902 nucleotides) under Escherichia coli DEC15B. RNAcentral describes it as "bacterial LSU rRNA". It matches the Rfam family "Bacterial large subunit ribosomal RNA". Lineage: Bacteria; Pseudomonadati; Pseudomonadota; Gammaproteobacteria; Enterobacterales; Enterobacteriaceae. The record is from RNAcentral.
UUAAGCGACUAAGCGUACACGGUGGAUGCCCUGGCAGUCAGAGGCGAUGAAGGACGUGCUAAUCUGCGAUAAGCGUCGGUAAGGUGAUAUGAACCGUUAUAACCGGCGAUUUCCGAAUGGGGAAACCCAGUGUGUUUCGACACACUAUCAUUAACUGAAUCCAUAGGUUAAUGAGGCGAACCGGGGGAACUGAAACAUCUAAGUACCCCGAGGAAAAGAAAUCAACCGAGAUUCCCCCAGUAGCGGCGAGCGAACGGGGAGCAGCCCAGAGCCUGAAUCAGUGUGUGUGUUAGUGGAAGCGUCUGGAAAGGCGCGCGAUACAGGGUGACAGCCCCGUACACAAAAAUGCACAUGCUGUGAGCUCGAUGAGUAGGGCGGGACACGUGGUAUCCUGUCUGAAUAUGGGGGGACCAUCCUCCAAGGCUAAAUACUCCUGACUGACCGAUAGUGAACCAGUACCGUGAGGGAAAGGCGAAAAGAACCCCGGCGAGGGGAGUGAAAAAGAACCUGAAACCGUGUACGUACAAGCAGUGGGAGCACGCUUAGGCGUGUGACUGCGUACCUUUUGUAUAAUGGGUCAGCGACUUAUAUUCUGUAGCAAGGUUAACCGAAUAGGGGAGCCGAAGGGAAACCGAGUCUUAACUGGGCGUUAAGUUGCAGGGUAUAGACCCGAAACCCGGUGAUCUAGCCAUGGGCAGGUUGAAGGUUGGGUAACACUAUCUGGAGGACCGAACCGACUAAUGUUGAAAAAUUAGCGGAUGACUUGUGGCUGGGGGUGAAAGGCCAAUCAAACCGGGAGAUAGCUGGUUCUCCCCGAAAGCUAUUUAGGUAGCGCCUCGUGAAUUCAUCUCCGGGGGUAGAGCACUGUUUCGGCAAGGGGGUCAUCCCGACUUACCAACCCGAUGCAAACUGCGAAUACCGGAGAAUGUUAUCACGGGAGACACACGGCGGGUGCUAACGUCCGUCGUGAAGAGGGAAACAACCCAGACCGCCAGCUAAGGUCCCAAAGUCAUGGUUAAGUGGGAAACGAUGUGGGAAGGCCCAGACAGCCAGGAUGUUGGCUUAGAAGCAGCCAUCAUUUAAAGAAAGCGUAAUAGCUCACUGGUCGAGUCGGCCUGCGCGGAAGAUGUAACGGGGCUAAACCAUGCACCGAAGCUGCGGCAGCGACGCUUAUGCGUUGUUGGGUAGGGGAGCGUUCUGUAAGCCUGCGAAGGUGUGCUGUGAGGCAUGCUGGAGGUAUCAGAAGUGCGAAUGCUGACAUAAGUAACGAUAAAGCGGGUGAAAAGCCCGCUCGCCGGAAGACCAAGGGUUCCUGUCCAACGUUAAUCGGGGCAGGGUGAGUCGACCCCUAAGGCGAGGCCGAAAGGCGUAGUCGAUGGGAAACAGGUUAAUAUUCCUGUACUUGGUGUUACUGCGAAGGGGGGACGGAGAAGGCUAUGUUGGCCGGGCGACGGUUGUCCCGGUUUAAGCGUGUAGGCUGGUUUUCCAGGCAAAUCCGGAAAAUCAAGGCUGAGGCGUGAUGACGAGGCACUACGGUGCUGAAGCAACAAAUGCCCUGCUUCCAGGAAAAGCCUCUAAGCAUCAGGUAACAUCAAAUCGUACCCCAAACCGACACAGGUGGUCAGGUAGAGAAUACCAAGGCGCUUGAGAGAACUCGGGUGAAGGAACUAGGCAAAAUGGUGCCGUAACUUCGGGAGAAGGCACGCUGAUAUGUAGGUGAAGUCCCUCGCGGAUGGAGCUGAAAUCAGUCGAAGAUACCAGCUGGCUGCAACUGUUUAUUAAAAACACAGCACUGUGCAAACACGAAAGUGGACGUAUACGGUGUGACGCCUGCCCGGUGCCGGAAGGUUAAUUGAUGGGGUCAGCGCAAGCGAAGCUCUUGAUCGAAGCCCCGGUAAACGGCGGCCGUAACUAUAACGGUCCUAAGGUAGCGAAAUUCCUUGUCGGGUAAGUUCCGACCUGCACGAAUGGCGUAAUGAUGGCCAGGCUGUCUCCACCCGAGACUCAGUGAAAUUGAACUCGCUGUGAAGAUGCAGUGUACCCGCGGCAAGACGGAAAGACCCCGUGAACCUUUACUAUAGCUUGACACUGAACAUUGAGCCUUGAUGUGUAGGAUAGGUGGGAGGCUUUGAAGUGUGGACGCCAGUCUGCAUGGAGCCGACCUUGAAAUACCACCCUUUAAUGUUUGAUGUUCUAACGUUGACCCGUAAUCCGGGUUGCGGACAGUGUCUGGUGGGUAGUUUGACUGGGGCGGUCUCCUCCUAAAGAGUAACGGAGGAGCACGAAGGUUGGCUAAUCCUGGUCGGACAUCAGGAGGUUAGUGCAAUGGCAUAAGCCAGCUUGACUGCGAGCGUGACGGCGCGAGCAGGUGCGAAAGCAGGUCAUAGUGAUCCGGUGGUUCUGAAUGGAAGGGCCAUCGCUCAACGGAUAAAAGGUACUCCGGGGAUAACAGGCUGAUACCGCCCAAGAGUUCAUAUCGACGGCGGUGUUUGGCACCUCGAUGUCGGCUCAUCACAUCCUGGGGCUGAAGUAGGUCCCAAGGGUAUGGCUGUUCGCCAUUUAAAGUGGUACGCGAGCUGGGUUUAGAACGUCGUGAGACAGUUCGGUCCCUAUCUGCCGUGGGCGCUGGAGAACUGAGGGGGGCUGCUCCUAGUACGAGAGGACCGGAGUGGACGCAUCACUGGUGUUCGGGUUGUCAUGCCAAUGGCACUGCCCGGUAGCUAAAUGCGGAAGAGAUAAGUGCUGAAAGCAUCUAAGCACGAAACUUGCCCCGAGAUGAGUUCUCCCUGACUCCUUGAGAGUCCUGAAGGAACGUUGAAGACGACGACGUUGAUAGGCCGGGUGUGUAAGCGCAGCGAUGCGUUGAGCUAACCGGUACUAAUGAACCGUGAGGCUUAACCUU